RNAcentral lists this ribosomal RNA (292 nucleotides) under uncultured bacterium. RNAcentral's name for it is "partial 16S ribosomal RNA". It matches the Rfam family "Bacterial small subunit ribosomal RNA", at positions 505 to 796 of the family's 1533-position model. The record is from RNAcentral.
GUGUCAGCAGCCGCGGUAAGACGAACCUUGCUAACGUUAUUCGGAAUCACUGGGCUUAAAGGGUGCGUAGGCUGUGCGGAAAGUUGGGUGUGAAAUACCUCGGCUUAACCGAGGAAUUGCGCCCAAAACUACCGUGCUCGAGUGAGACAGAGGUGAGCGGAACUUAGGGUGGAGCGGUGAAAUGCGUUGAUAUCCUAAGGAACACCGGUGGCGAAAGCGGCUCACUGGGUCUUGUCUGACGCUGAGGCACGAAAGCCAGGGUAGCGAACGGGAUUAGAUACCCCUGUAGUCC